AGUGAACGCUGGCGGUAGGCCUAACACAUGCAAGUCGAACGGCCGCACAGUAAGAUCUCGCUCUUACGGGUGGCGAGUGGCGGACGGGUGAGGAAUACAUCGGAUUCUACUUUUUCGUGGGGGAUAACGUAGGGAAACUUACGCUAAUACCGCAUAUGACCUACGGGUGAAAGCAGGGGAUCUUCGGACCUUGCGUGAUUGAAUGAGCCGAUGUCGGAUUAGCUAGUUGGCGGGGUAAAGGCCCACCAAGGCGACGAUCCGUAGCUGGCCUGAGAGGAUGAUCAGCCACACUGGAACUGAGACACGGUCCAGACUCCUACGGGAGGCAGCAGUGGGGAAUCUUGGACAAUGGGCGCAAGCCUGACCCAGCCAUACCGCGUGGGUGAAGAAGGCCUUCGGGUUGUAAAGCCCUUUUGUUGGGAAAGAAAAGCAGCAGGUUAAUCCCCCGCUGUCCUGACGGUACCCAAAGAAUAAGCCCCGGCUAACUUCGUG
RNAcentral lists this ribosomal RNA (492 nucleotides) under uncultured bacterium. RNAcentral describes it as "partial 16S ribosomal RNA". It matches the Rfam family "Bacterial small subunit ribosomal RNA", at positions 29 to 507 of the family's 1533-position model. The record is from RNAcentral.